Long non-coding RNA from Hirundo rustica (Barn swallow), 737 nucleotides. RefSeq lists it as uncharacterized. The record is from RefSeq and is a predicted model, not a curated record. The transcript has 6 exons. NCBI's taxonomy places the organism in Eukaryota, Metazoa, Chordata, Aves, Passeriformes, Hirundinidae.
UGAUUGGUAUGGGUAGGAGAGCUGGCUGUGAGCUGAAUUUCAGACCCUCAGUACUGACCAGUCUCAGAAAGAAGCACUCACUGAUGUUCAGGUGGAAACAGCAAAUACAAAUCUGCACUUAAGUGGAUAUGAAGAGAGAGCGUCAUCUAUCAGUGUAUCUGUUCAUAGUAUGUACACAGUAGCUCACAUGUGAUGCCUGCAGCCCAAAAAGACAGAUUUCUUCAGUUAAACUCCUGUGCCCUUGAAGUCCACAAUGUUCUCUAUGUGUUAUCAGCAUAAAUUUGGAUCAGAUAGGCAAGAACAAUAAUAACAGACUUAUCUUGUGGGAUUUACCCUUGUGUAUGGAUGGUAGACUUGAGCUACAUGGUACUUCACAGGCAGUCUGUAACUCCACAGUCUGCCAGACAUCUGUUGCAUUGCCCAUGCAACGGACGUGUUCCUGAGAGAGACUUGUGCUUUUGGGGCCUGGCGCACUCUGCAAAUAAAGGCUGAUGAUAAAGAUGGUAUUUCAGAAGUGACAAACAUUUAUUGGAGACAUCUCUGAAGACUCCCAAAAGUGCAGGCCUAAACAACCAUUACUGAGGAACAACACACAAAAGAGAUAUUUUUUUCAGAUAAAUCAAUGUAAUCAAGCUGAAGAAACUGUGGAGCUAGUCUCAAAUAUGUGCAGAGAUAAUACUGGCUUUUCAACACUUUCACAAGUGAAGGCUUUUUUCAGAAAAUUAUUUUUUUUUACA